UGCCCAAUGCGGGAAUCGAACCCGGGUCGUAGCGGUCCAAAACCAACGGUUUAAACCAUCAUUCCACCGACCCCUGUAUUAGAUGAACUAAACAGGA
This is a non-coding RNA of Cordylochernes scorpioides, 97 nucleotides long. The record is from the annotation of a GenBank genome assembly. Lineage: Eukaryota; Metazoa; Arthropoda; Arachnida; Pseudoscorpiones; Chernetidae.